Molecule: ribosomal RNA, 253 nt
Filed under: uncultured bacterium
Lineage: Bacteria
Description: partial 16S ribosomal RNA
Rfam family: Bacterial small subunit ribosomal RNA
Source: RNAcentral
UACGGAGGGUGCAAGCGUUGUUCGGAAUUACUGGGCGUAAAGAGUGUCAAGGUGGAUCUGCAAGUCAGAUGUGAAAUCCCCCGGCUUAACUGGGGAGGGUCGUUUGAAACUGCAGAUCUUGAGUGUCGGAGAGGUGAGCGGAAUUCCCAGUGUAGAGGUGAAAUUCGUAGAGAUUGGGAGGAACAUCAGAGGCGAAGGCGGCUCACUGGCCGAUUACUGACACUGCCACACGAAAGCGUGGGGAGCAAACAGG